Non-coding RNA from Lolium perenne, 1509 nucleotides. NCBI's taxonomy places the organism in Eukaryota, Viridiplantae, Streptophyta, Magnoliopsida, Poales, Poaceae. The record is from RefSeq and is a predicted model, not a curated record.
UCUAUCCCCAUCCCCAUCCAAGCUCCAGAUCCAUGGCCUGCUCUGCUUCUUCACAGUCGGGUGCUAAUGGAGUUCGGAGCUCCCGGAGGCAACGGAGGCCCUGGGGGUCAUGAAGGUCCAGGAGCCAAUGUCAACGUCUCUGCCGCUCAUGCCCAUUUUGCGGCAGCUGAAUCUCAACAGCCAUCUCACGCAAAGGAACCCGUCCCGGCACUAGAUACUACAAGUGCAGAUUUUCAGCUAUGAAAAGUGCCCGUUAUUCGAGUGGAGGGAGGGAUAUGCAGAGCUCGUCGGUUCCAAUGUCGCGCAAGCUCAGCAAAAGCGCACCCCAAGCAGCAGCUCCUGCAAAUGCUCACCGUCAGCUACUGAGGCUUAAUCUACUCAUCAACGUCACCAACACACUUGCAAACCAUCCGUUGUUCUGCUCAUACUCAUGUGGGCAAGCCGCAACUGAUGUUCUGCCUCGAACUGUACAGCGACUAGGAAAUUAAUUACCAGAUCAUGUAAGCCAGACUUAGGCAGUGUGUGUUAGCAACUUUGUGUUGCAUAUGAAAUUAAUUAUCACGUUCCACUGGUCCAGCACCGCCACUCCGUCACACGACCAUCAGCCGCCCCCGACGUGGAACCUGCUCCGUCUGCGUAUGGAAAGGCCCACUUCAGUUAAUGCACAUGUAUUGCUCUCUCGCUUGCUUUUCCGCAUGCUGUAUUUGCAAAGAGUAAAGUCUGAAAAAAACCUUGUGGUUGUAGAUGAAGUUGAAAUUGAACCCGCAACUUUUAAUCCCAGAAACGAGCACCCUCAACUCACUUAUCCCGGUCUGUUCUCGCGUGAUGCUUGUUUCCGCGCCUGAUUCGCUGACGUGGCAAGGGUCAACGCUGGGAUUGUUGACUGGCUGGUUAAGUACUAUCCACGUAGGUUGGGUCAUGUGUAAACGACUUCGGUCGUUCUAAUCGAAUCGAACAAGAGGGGAACAGAUAGUAGGGUUUGUCUCGCAAGGAGACUGAGCAGGGGACGGUGGGCGGCGGCGCGAGGCGGCGGGCGGUGGCGGACGUAGUUUGGAACGGACUGAUGUCUUCUUCAUCUGGCGCAUCUUCCUUGCGGGCCGACGCGGUCGCCGGUUCCGUAAUGGCGGGAGGCUGUAGCUACGUUGAGUGGUGCGAUCCCUCAACAACGCCUUUUCUUCUCGAUUUGCUAGGUGAUAUCCACGAUGCAGUGUGGAGUCUGCAGGACCAAGUUGUAGCUCCACAUGAAUAGACAGAGCUGGUAGGAUUGUUGCUGCGUUUACAGAGGACAUUGAUCGGAAGAUGCCCAAAUGGAUGCAAUUAAAGCAAGAUUGGAGAAAAGGGAGAGAAAUACAAUGUAUAUAAAUGCUUUGUGUAUGCGAUUGUAGUUGCAGGAAUUGUAGUUUCAGGUUAGUAGGAAGAGAAAUGGCAGCAGUUGUUUCCAUUGUAAUGCCAGAACUUAUUUGCUAUGUUAUGCAAGCAUUGUAUGCAUAUUUGUGCAAUGAAAUAAAU